RNAcentral lists this long non-coding RNA (542 nucleotides) under Triticum aestivum (bread wheat). RNAcentral describes it as "long non-coding RNA (TAES_LNC007401)". The record is from RNAcentral. Lineage: Eukaryota; Viridiplantae; Streptophyta; Magnoliopsida; Poales; Poaceae.
AAGCUGUAACCUCGGUGACCUAACUUUGAUAUUUCAACAACAUAGCCAAGCGCGCCACAGUACAAAUGCUAAAUUACCACUCAGCGCCAAAAGGCCCACUGCAUGAAAUGCCACAUCAAAGAUGAGCGUUGUAGUAUGCUGAAUAUGUCACAGGUAAGAGUAUUAAUACAUUCUUCUCUACCAUAAGCCCCCAGCCCUUCGGCGAGACCUUAAGAGUACACAUUCUUCUCUACCACAAGUCCCCAACCCUUCGGUGAGACCUUACAAUUUGGUAAAGGCGUAAGGCAGCCACCUUCGUGACAUAAAGCCCUGUAAAUUAGCAUAAUAUAGACCUAUAUCUACAGUUAUAUCCGCCUCAGAUGGUCCGGAAUUCACCAUACAGUUAAAAUUUACUGAAAAACAGAACCCGCCUUCGCAGCAUCAUAUUGUGAUUCCCAGUUCAGGAAGUACCAAGCAGCAAAAUUGAAACCAUAUCGACCUCGUAUUCAGGAUAGAUUUGUGAACAAUGGAGCAGAUACAUUGGAAGCAAUCUGACCAUCACU